GUGCUUGCUUCAGCAGCACAUAUGCUAAAAUUGGAACGAUACAGAGAAGAUUAGCAUGACCCCUGCGCAAGGAUGGCAUGCACAUUUGUGAAGCGUUCCAUACAUAU
This is a small nuclear RNA of Erinaceus europaeus (western European hedgehog), 107 nucleotides long. Lineage: Eukaryota; Metazoa; Chordata; Mammalia; Eulipotyphla; Erinaceidae. The record is from Ensembl.